RNAcentral lists this ribosomal RNA (459 nucleotides) under uncultured bacterium. RNAcentral describes it as "partial 16S ribosomal RNA". It matches the Rfam family "Bacterial small subunit ribosomal RNA", at positions 338 to 795 of the family's 1533-position model. The record is from RNAcentral.
CCUACGGGAGGCAGCAGUGAGGAAUAUUGGUCAAUGGCCGAGAGGCUGAACCAGCCAAGUCGCGUGAGGGAAGAAUGUCCUAUGGAUUGUAAACCUCUUUUGUCAGGGAGCAAAGUCACCCACGUGUGGGCGUUGGAGAGUACCUGAAGAAAAAGCAUCGGCUAACUCCGUGCCAGCAGCCGCGGUAAUACGGAGGAUGCGAGCGUUAUCCGGAUUGAUUGGGUUAAAAGGGUGCGUAGGCGGGUUAUCAAGUCAGCGGUAAAAGCGUGGAGCUCAACUCCAGCCAGCCGUUGAAACUGAUGGUCUUGAGUGGGCGAGAAGUAUGCGGAAUGCGUGGUGUAGCGGUGAAAUGCGUAGAGAUGACGCAGAACUCCGAUUGCGAAGGCAGCAUACCGGCGCCCGACUGACGCUGAAGCACGAAAGCGUGGGUAGCGAACAGGAUUAGAUACCCGGGUAGUC